Molecule: ribosomal RNA, 247 nt
Filed under: uncultured bacterium
Lineage: Bacteria
Description: partial 16S ribosomal RNA
Rfam family: Bacterial small subunit ribosomal RNA
Source: RNAcentral
AUACGGAGGGUGCAAGCGUUGUUCGGAAUUACUGGGCGUAAAGGGCGCGUAGGCGGUUGUGUUAGUCAGAUGUGAAAUACUUCAGCUCAACUGAAGAAAUGCAUUUGAUACUGCAUAACUAGAGUACAGGAGAGGGAAAUGGAAUUCCCGGUGUAGAGGUGAAAUUCGUAGAUAUCGGGAGGAACACCAGUGGCGAAGGCGAUUUCCUGGCCUGAUACUGACGCUGAGGCGCGAAAGCGUGGGGAGC